UGCCAGCCGCCGCGGUAAUACGGAGGGAUCGAACGUUAAUCGGAAUUACUGGGCGUAAAGCGCGCGUAGGCGGUUUGAUAAGUGGGAUGUGAAAGCCCCGGGCUUAACCUGGGAACUGCAUUCCAAACUGUCAAACUAGAGUAUGGUAGAGGGUGGUAGAAUUUCCUGUGUAGCGGUGAAAUGCGUAGAUAUAGGAAGGAAUACCGAUGGCGAAGGCAGCCACCUGGACCAAUACUGACGCUGAGGUGCGAAAGCGUGGGGAGCAAACAGGAUUAGAUA
This 279-nucleotide ribosomal RNA is filed under the name uncultured bacterium. RNAcentral describes it as "partial 16S ribosomal RNA". It matches the Rfam family "Bacterial small subunit ribosomal RNA", at positions 506 to 784 of the family's 1533-position model. The record is from RNAcentral.